CCUACGUGGGCAGCAGUGAGGAAUAUUUGUCAAUGGGCGGAAGCCUGAACCAGCCAAGUAGCGUGCAGGAUGACGGCCCUACGGGUUGUAAACUGCUUUUAUACGGGAAUAACGCGCCUUACGUGUAGGGCUUUGCAUGUACCGUAUGAAUAAGGACCGGCUAAUUCCGUGCCCGCAGCCGCGGUCAUACGGAGGGUCAGGGCGUUAUCCGGAUUUAUGGGGUUUAAAGGGAGCGUAGGCCGCAUGUCAAGCGUGCUGUGAAAUGUCCGGGCUCAACCCGGGCCUUGCAGCGCGAACUGGCGUGCUUGAGUCCGCGGAAAGCAGGCGGAAUUCGUCGUGUAGCGGUGAAAUGCUUAGAUAUGACGAAGAACCCCGAUUGCGAAGGCAGCUUGCUGCAGCGGAACUGACGCUGAUGCUCGAAAGCGCGGGUAUCGAACAGGAUUAGAUACCCCUGUAGUC
RNAcentral lists this ribosomal RNA (459 nucleotides) under uncultured bacterium. RNAcentral's name for it is "partial 16S ribosomal RNA". It matches the Rfam family "Bacterial small subunit ribosomal RNA", at positions 338 to 795 of the family's 1533-position model. The record is from RNAcentral.